RNAcentral lists this long non-coding RNA (1547 nucleotides) under Medicago truncatula (barrel medic). RNAcentral's name for it is "long non-coding RNA (MTRU_LNC004773)". The record is from RNAcentral. Lineage: Eukaryota; Viridiplantae; Streptophyta; Magnoliopsida; Fabales; Fabaceae.
AUGCCAUUUCCCUUUUCUCCCAACCCUAGCACCUCACGAGAUUUCGCCGUCGCCGUCGUCGAUAUUCGAUUCUCCCCUUUCACCCAUCGCUGAUUGAAAUUCAUUGUGUCUCCAUUAUUAUCUAUUUGUGCUCUCUCUUGUCGGCGGUUUUCUUUUAACUGUAGCACCCUCGCCGACGCUCUCUCUGUGCUCUCUCUCGUCGGCGUUUUUCAACUCAGGUAUAUUCAUUCAUCUCCCUUUUGUUUGAUUUGGUUGUUCAAACUGGUAAUUUAUAUCUGUGUAUAUUCACUAUUCUUGCGGUAUCUGGUAAUUUAUCUCGUCGACUUUCCUCAUUUUUGCGGUGAUUCACUAUUGUUGUUAUUCGUACCAGUUUAAUUUGAAUUAGACUUAAACAUUUAUGGGUAUAUUGAAAAUCUUUUUUUUUUUUUUUUAAUUUAUAUCUAAGUUUUUGGCAGUACUGAAGUUAAGAAUGGGUUGAAUUUGAUAUUAUGUGUGUUUAUUGAUGGAUAAAGUUUUGUUUAAUAGAGGCUAUGGACAUUCAUUGGGUUAGUCUAUAGCCAGUUUUGUGGGUCACGACAAAAUAGGAAUGCAUUAGCGAGAAAGUUUAAGGUUCAAUGGUUUAUUAUUAUACAUGAGGUUUCAUGAAAAAGCAUUCUUUGAUCCAUCUAAUUAGUCUCACCGAGUGGGAAACAACUUUGAUGGUUAUUGUUGUAUGCUGGGUUUUUUACUCUGUGCCCUUAUCUUUGAGAUCUGUUUGUUAUACACUUUUUAUGCUAAUAUAUUAUAUUAAUUAGUAUCAUUCUUUGUAGAGGCGGAACUCGUAACUUAUUAUGUAUGUUUUCAGGUGGCACCUGGUCUUAGCUUGAAAACUCCUUUGGCAGCAUUGGCAUCACAGUCAGCAUCAUCACAAACAUCUGUAUGUAUUUCUUAUUUUUAUGAUCUGAAAAUAUUUCUUAGAAUUCUAUUAUGGAAGAUAGUAAUUGAGGACCUUUCAUAUUUUUUCUUUGGGAUUCCUUUAUUGUUGUCGAAUGCUCUUGUCAGAUAUUUCCUUGCAUAACGUUUAGUUUACCCCAUUCACUUAUACUAUGAGGGUUAUGGUUAUUGCUAUUAGUAAAUUCACAAUUUUCAUAAUUAGUUGGUCAUUGUUUUAACAAAGAGAUGUUUUGAUUUGUUCAUUUGUGUUUCUCUGCCAGCCUAAGGAUUAAUGAAAUUGUUUGGGAGAGAUUGUUGAAACAACCUAUAUCAUGGGUAUUUUACUUGAAUUCUUUUCUGUGUGAAACAAAGAGAUUGUUGUCAGAGCUACUUAAGGUUUCAUUUUCUUUGUUUAUGUGUAAAUAAGCCAAACACUCUUCAUGUACAUAAACCAAACCUUUAGCUGUUGCAACAACUACAUUAAAUCUCUUAUUCCAAUCAAGUGAAUUAGAACAUAGAUUCUCAACUAAUGAACCAUGUUCCAUAUACUCAUAAACCAGAAGCCUAUGUUUCCCCUCAACACAAUAUCCCCACAUAUGGUUUAACAUACCAAUUUUGCUUAUUUAAGCUAGAAA